CAGUUUAAAAUUAACUUUCCCCUUAGCAGGGCCCGUUCCCCUCCAGCCGGGAGCUGGUGCACAGCAGCAAUUCCCACGUCUGUCUGUCUAUCUGCUGCCGGCCUGCGCUGCAUGUUACCUCCGUCCUCAUCCCUUCCCCCAAUCUCCAGCUAAACAAAGGGAGCGAGGAAAAAAACAGCCCAGGAAGUGCAAAGUGGAAAGCGACCCUCUUCCUAUUUGACGACACCGCCAAUUCCUCCGGGAUCCCACCUGAGAUUAAAGCCUGAAUUUCAAUAAAUCAGCUCUAAUGAAA
Long non-coding RNA from Pezoporus flaviventris, 292 nucleotides. RefSeq lists it as uncharacterized. The record is from RefSeq and is a predicted model, not a curated record. The transcript is spliced from 2 exons. Lineage: Eukaryota; Metazoa; Chordata; Aves; Psittaciformes; Psittacidae.